RNAcentral lists this long non-coding RNA (319 nucleotides) under Brassica rapa (field mustard). Its description in RNAcentral is "long non-coding RNA (BRAP_LNC004095)". Lineage: Eukaryota; Viridiplantae; Streptophyta; Magnoliopsida; Brassicales; Brassicaceae. The record is from RNAcentral.
UCGACGUGGCGAGAUCUAGAUCCUAUAUGAUUUUAGAUCGUUAGGACAUCCUACGUGAUUGCACGUGACAUGGUUAUGUUCCUUGUGGAGAAAGUGGCCCAUACGUGGGGCAUAUUCGUAUGUAGUGCAUGCGAAUGAUCUCCUUAGAUGAUCCCUUAUGUUAUACACUUGUUUUCUUUUUCCAAAUUAUACUAGUAGGAUAUAACUAACAAUCCACAUACUAAUAUACGAAUCUAUUAAUUCUGGCAUCUACUAACUGUAGCCACUUUUAUAUUAUCUAAUUAUAAAAAGUAAAGGAAAUCACGCUUAUGGACGAUCA